RNAcentral lists this long non-coding RNA (374 nucleotides) under Brachypodium distachyon (stiff brome). RNAcentral describes it as "long non-coding RNA (BDIS_LNC004455)". The record is from RNAcentral. Lineage: Eukaryota; Viridiplantae; Streptophyta; Magnoliopsida; Poales; Poaceae.
AAACGAAGAUGUAGUCGAACUUUUCCGUAACGGAAUCAUGAGUCAAUGCUUCAUCGGUAAUAUCUUUUCCAUCCUCUUUAUCCGGUGCAGCAACAGCAAUAGCUUGGAACUGACCAUCCUCGUGUUGGUGUUCGAGCCAGUGCAUUAGCUUUUCAGUGCACUUUUCAAGAAGGCGAGGCUCGGAGAAGGCUAGCUCCCUUCGUGGAUCAUCGUUUGUCGCCCGGUAGUAGUCUUCUUCCAAGUCAUGUUCUCCUUCAGCUACAACUCCUGCAGAAGCAGCAUGAAACAACGCCUCCGUCGGCGACAUGUGCAGCUUGUCGGAGUCCGCCGUCUUUGCCGGGACCUCGACGCCGUAGCGGAGCCGCCGCUCACCA